AUCCUUUCACAAGGUGAGAGGACGAGACAUCUCGCGGAUGGAGACUCCCGAUUCCGGUCCGACAACGAGGUGCUCAGCAAUUUCGGGAUAGCGACGCGGAAGCUCUGGCAACGUCGUGAAACUCAAGGAGAUAAGGUUGCGAUUAGGAUGUCUGUUUCCUUGCACAGCUCGAAAACCAACAACAGAAUAAGUAUGUAGAAAGCAUGAUUGUUCCUUGUUUGGACGAGGGUUCGACUCCCUCCAGCUCCACGA
RNAcentral lists this transfer-messenger RNA (252 nucleotides) under Bacteroidales bacterium. RNAcentral describes it as "partial transfer-messenger RNA". It matches the Rfam family "transfer-messenger RNA", at positions 115 to 374 of the family's 374-position model. Rfam says of the family: Bacterial tmRNA, also known as 10Sa RNA or SsrA, is named for its dual tRNA and mRNA-like properties. Its role is to liberate the mRNA from a stalled ribosome. To accomplish this part of the tmRNA is used as a reading frame that ends in a translation stop signal. The record is from RNAcentral. Lineage: Bacteria; Pseudomonadati; Bacteroidota; Bacteroidia; Bacteroidales.